GAGCAAAAGCUGGCAGUAAGUAUUCGCAGCGGCUCUAAUAGCCGUGGGAGCUGAGGAAAGAGACACAAGAGUUCCAGCACACUCAUAAAUGACGGCAGUUGAUGGAGCAUUCAACAAAGAUAUAAUGAUCUUAAUAUAUUUGCCUUUCUCGGCCUUAUUGGCCCGGCAAACCUUCUUAAUUAAUUCUAAGACAACCAUCUGAAGCUGCUCCCCCCAAUCAGCCAUCCUAUCGAUGUUAGUAAAGAGGUAGUUGAUGGCCCUUUCUUGGGCACAAUUGAAGAGCAUAAGAAAAGCAUUUCUCUUACUGGAAUUGUCCUGCUCGGAGGUCAAGAACUUCUCGAUGAUCUCAGG
RNAcentral lists this unclassified non-coding RNA (351 nucleotides) under Hevea brasiliensis (rubber tree). The record is from RNAcentral. Lineage: Eukaryota; Viridiplantae; Streptophyta; Magnoliopsida; Malpighiales; Euphorbiaceae.